GUCUUUAUAGUGUUAAUUUAAAGUCUCACCUGCCCUAUGAUUAUUUAAAUGGCUGCAGUAUUUUGACUGUACAAAGGUAGCAUAAUAAUUAGUUUUUUAAUUGAAAGCUGGUAUGAAUGGUUGGACGAGAAAAUAGCUGUCUCUAUUUAAAUUUAAUAGAAUUUUAUUUUUAAGUUAAAAAGCUUAAAUAAUUUUAAAAGACGAGAAGACCCUAUAGAGUUUUAUAUUUUUUUUUGUAAUAAAUUUAAUAAAUUAUUUUUUUAUAUUAUGAAAUAUUUUAUUGGGGUGAUAGUAAAAUUUAAUAAACUUUUAUUUAAAUUUAACAUUAAUUUAUGAUUAAUUGAUCCAUUAUAAUGAUUAUAAGAUUAAAUUACCUUAGGGAUAACAGCGUAAUUUUUUUGGAGAGUUCUAAUCGAUAAGAAAGUUUGCGACCUCGAUGUUGGAUUAAAUUUUAUUUUUGGUGUAGAAGCUAAAAAAUUAGGUCUGUUCGACCUUUAAAAAUUUACA
Molecule: ribosomal RNA, 507 nt
Filed under: Deinopsis erosa
Lineage: Eukaryota; Metazoa; Arthropoda; Insecta; Coleoptera; Staphylinidae
Description: partial 16S ribosomal RNA
Rfam family: Bacterial large subunit ribosomal RNA (bases 381-507)
Source: RNAcentral